AAAAAACGACCUGCCCAGACCCUCAGCGUCGACGCUGCGCACAAGCGCAGUCAACUGCUGGACCCGGCCGGUGUGAAGUUUCACACCCAAAAGGAUGAAGGGCACCCACCUGGCUUAAGAGAACGACUCCCAGGUAAAGGGCCAGACCCAGACACUUGUCAUCCUGUGUACUCUGCUCACUUGUUGCUGUUUCUGUUGUUGCUGCUGUUUUUGCUGUGGAGCACUUAAACCACCACCUGAGCAGGAUAGUGGGAGAAAAUAUCAGCAGAAUGUCCAGAGUCAGCCUCCAAGGUCAGGAGCCAAAUGUGAUUUUAGAAGCGAGGAAAAUAGCGAAGAUGAUUUUUAAGAGAUGAAGAAGGAUGAGGUGCUGACCCAGUGAGGGUGCCUUCUGCUGCCCAGUCCCCUGGACACAUUGAAGAGAGGAGCAAGUAGCCCUGUCCUGACAUUGACCCUGAUUUGACCCCUCUUCUUAUAAGGAUCUCAAGAAUCUCUUCAGAAGCACUGAUGACGUUGAUCCCAGUAAGGACAUCACCUCUACCCUUGGUACCACAACUCUGUAUGGGGUUGCCCAGCUACUCUUCCUUUCAGUUGCAGUCCCAAUUUUACUCCGUCAGAAAGCAGCCCUCCCCUCCCUCCCCUUAUGAGGUCUCAGGCAGUGGUGGCAGAUUUUUCCUGAAGAGUCUUUUUCCUGUGUCUGCCUUGUUAUUGGAACCAAUGCCAGCUGGUAGGAUCCCUGAGCCCCUUGCGAUAUCACCACCAAGAGCCUGAUAACUGAGCAGGGUGGAUCCUGUCCCUGGAGCUGCUGCACCCAUUAAUUCUCCCUUGUUGCAACUCUGUGUACCAAGAACCCCUAGCAUCAGCCUCAUUCCUAAGCCAAUAACGCCUGUAUGGAGUUGGUUUCAUCUUCUGGUGCCCACGGCCAUUGGCAUUGCCAGCCUCAUUCCAUGCCACUAUGAGUCAACUCAGGAAAACUGCGAGUGCAUUUGAGGCUUAGGGGUAGUCAUUCCAUCUUUAGAUUAUCCUUGGACUUCAGCUACCAGCACAGCAUGCAUUAGCCUUGGUCCUGUAGGUUAACUGAAGUUCAAACAUCAGUGCCAGCUUGCCUCCAUCCUUUUCACAUAUUAUGCAGGCCAAUUGACAUAUAAUUUGUUCUUAAAAAUAGGGGCAUGAAAUAUGUGAUCUGGAAAAGAUUGUACUUUCUGGACUCUUUUCCCACUCUUGCCUCUUUGUGCUGCUGUUUCGUAUCCUCCUCACACCGUGUAUUUCCCACCCACUCAGGGUCACAGCCUACUAAUUCCUCAAACUUCUCUCCCUGGACUAGGAGAAAGGCUAAAGAAUGUCAGUAAAUAAAAGAGCUUUCAUCCAAU
This 1367-nucleotide long non-coding RNA is filed under the name Homo sapiens (human). Its description in RNAcentral is "long non-coding RNA NONHSAT181470.1". The record is from RNAcentral. Lineage: Eukaryota; Metazoa; Chordata; Mammalia; Primates; Hominidae.